Molecule: non-coding RNA, 95 nt
Organism: Mycena epipterygia
Lineage: Eukaryota; Fungi; Basidiomycota; Agaricomycetes; Agaricales; Mycenaceae
Source: the annotation of a GenBank genome assembly
GCGGGCGUGGUGUGCGGUGCACAGCUGUGUUCAAUAUUUUGUCUUGCAAGAAGCUGUUCAGACAGCCAAUCCGGGUUCGACUCCCGGCGCUCGCA